UAAGACGAACCGUGCGAACGUUGUUCGGAAUCACUGGGCUUAAAGAGCACGUAGGCUGUGUGCUAAGUCGACGGUGAAAUCCUCCGGCUCAACCGGAGAACUGCCGCCGAAACUGGCAUGCUGGAGUGAGCUAGAGGGGCGUGGAACUUCCGGUGGAGCGGUGAAAUGCGUUGAUAUCGGAAGGAACACCGGUGGCGAAGGCGACGCCCUGGAGCUCAACUGACGCUGAGGUGCGAGAGCUAGGGUAGCGAACGGGAUUAGAUACCCCGGUAGUCCUAGCCGUAAACCAUGGGCACUAGAGAGUAGAUGCUCCGAUGCGUUUACUCUCGAAGCAAAAGUGUUAAGUGCCCCGCCUGGGGAGUAUGGUCGCAAGGCUG
This 377-nucleotide ribosomal RNA is filed under the name uncultured bacterium. Its description in RNAcentral is "bacterial SSU rRNA". It matches the Rfam family "Bacterial small subunit ribosomal RNA", at positions 521 to 896 of the family's 1533-position model. The record is from RNAcentral.